This 448-nucleotide ribosomal RNA is filed under the name uncultured bacterium. RNAcentral's name for it is "bacterial SSU rRNA". It matches the Rfam family "Bacterial small subunit ribosomal RNA", at positions 329 to 794 of the family's 1533-position model. The record is from RNAcentral.
AGCCAGACUCCUACGGGAGGCAGCAGUGGGGAAUAUUGCACAAUGGGGGAAACCCUGAUGCAGCGACGCCGCGUGAGUGAAGAAGUACUUCGUUAUGUAAAGCUCUAUCAGCAGGGAAGAAAAUGACGGUACCUGAGUAAGAAGCCCCGGCUAACUACGUGCCAGCAGCCGCGGUAAUACGUAGGGGGCAAGCGUUAUCCGGAUUUACUGGGUGUAAAGGGAGCGUAGACGGCAUGGCAAGUCAGAUGUGAAAGCCCGGGGCUCAACCCCGGGACUGCAUUUGAAACUGUCAGGCUGGAGUGCAGGAGAGGUAAGUGGAAUUCCUAGUGUAGCGGUGAAAUGCGUAGAUAUUAGGAGGAACACCAGUGGCGAAGGCGGCCUACUGGACGGUGACUGACGCUGGGGCUCGAAAGCGUGGGGAGCAAACAGGAUUAGAUACCCCGGUAAC